UGACGACGCCGCGUUUGAGUUUGGAGCCAUGAGACGACGCUGGAUUGAGGGAGGAAGGGCGGAGCUUGUGGCCGGAGAAGUCGGAGGAGAGGCUGUUGCCGGCGAAGGGAGAGAGGAAGCUGGUGGACAGGGAGGCUUUGGUAGGGGAAUGACACGACGUCAGAUGGGGGCGGGUAGUGUUCAGGGCUCGGGGAGUGGUGGGCGUUGCUAACAUGCGCGUGUGGAGCGCGAAGCUGGAAGCUGUGGUGGCCACCUCCAUUGAUGAGUUUCGAGCUUUGGUUAACAGGUGAACUCAGUAUCCAAAUAAAAGGAGAUAUCGAAACCAAAUAAAGUGGGCUCUUUUGGUUUUUGGGCUAUAAAAUGUUUAGCCCAUAACAUAGGACAUCCGAGCCCAAUAUGACCUUUCGCUCAACUUUAUAUUUACACUGAGAGGUGGAAUAUCCACGAUAUUCGAAUUUAAGAUCUCUUAUUUACAUGAAAAUUUUAAUUUAUUAGUGAAAAAUAAAUAAAGUUGAAGGAAAAAAGAAAACAAGUACGAGAAUUGGUGAAAUUCCAACUAUUUGGCUAUAAUCACCAUGAACCUGUCAAUAGCCGGAUUUACCUAAAACUAUGAUUAAUAUUUGGCUAAGAAAACUCGUUACAUGACGGUGUAACAUUAUUUCACAAAUUAUUUUCAAAGAUCUUGUUCGCUCAUGAAGCAGUGAGUUAAGAGAAAAAUUGUGCUCGAUCGUGUGAAACACUAAAAUUUAGUGGUGGGCAUUAAAUCAACCGAACAAUCCAAAUCGACCGAUCCAAACUGCUUUCGUCAGUUUAGUAUCAUUUUGACCAAGAAAAAAUUCAAACAAUUUAAAAACCGAACUGAUUUUGUGUUGCUUUAUUUCACUCUUGAAAUUGACCAAAACUAAACCGAACUGAUCAUAUAUUUUUUUAAUUAUAAUUUUACUUAUUUUAUACAUAUCAACAAAUCAUAGGUUAUUUGGACGUCUAACCAUACGUACAUUAAAAGUGUUCAACAUAUUAUAAGUUUUAGAGACUAUUAACAAUUAGGAGCUUUAAGCUUAUAGGUGAUAGGUUAUUUGUAGUUUAAGCUUAUGCGUGUUUGUAACUAAUAAAUCGUUUGCUAACAUAACACUUUAUUUAAUUGAGACUUAGUCCUAGCUCACUUGAUGAAAAUUUGUGUUACAAAAACUUAAUUUUUUGAUCGAAUUGGAAUGUGUGAGGUCUAUAGAUGUUUAGAAAAUUAAAACUCUUUAAAUGUUGGACAUUUUUAUUUAAUUUGUAGGGAAUAGGCUUAAACCGACCAAACCAAAACGAUUAACAAUGGUUUGGUUUCUAUUGUGAUGUUGGACAAAACCAAACCAAACUAAACUAUUAAAUGCUAUUUGGUUUAGUGAUAUUUUUUUAUGUUAAACCGAACCGCGCCCACCCUUGCUUUAAUUGUUGUUGUUGUUGUUGUUGUUGAAGUAUUAAUAUUAACAAUAAACACCACGUUUUCAUUUCAAAGAACUUGUUAUUUUGACAAACAAUAGAAUAAUUUACACGAAAUUCAUGAAUGAAUUUGAACCCGAAACACAUUGUGUUGAAGGCCCUAACCACCAGAAGCAAUCCACCAUUUGCUUCGUAGAACUUGGUUUGGUUGAGAUUGCAAAAUAUUUUCAACAUAUUGAAAAGGGAAGUCAAUUCCGCACACGCAUUUCCCUCUCUGCACACCCAUACUUAUUUCCAUUCGAAAACGACUACAAAGUUGUGUGCACGAAUCAUUUCCCUUCGAAAAUGAUUGCGGGGUUCUAGUUUCUUCAGAUCAAACAUUACGAAAGGCAUGUUCACCAAAAAAAAAAAAAAAAAAAAAAAAAAAACUUUUUUUACCAAACUUAUGAUUACAUUUGCUGGAAGUUUUUCAUCAAGUAAAAAGGAAUAUGUACAAAUUUUCAGAUGGCCAGAGGCAAAAGUUAACUACACACCCAAAUCCAACACAGAAGGGCUAGAAAUACCCUCUGUAUAAUAUUAUCCAAUGUUGGUCCUCCUAUAGUCUCAUACAAGCUAACAACCCUUCAAGUCCCUCCAUCUUAGGUACAGUAGACCGGCACGGUAGUGUAUGUAAGCUGCUGCCACAACCAAGAUAUGGAAAAGCUGGUGACUGCUCCCAGCAAUAUCAAACUUCCCCGGUCUCCACCGCUCGGGUAUCCUUGUAGCAUAAAUCAAUGCCCCUAGUCCAUUAACAACCCCCAUUAACACCUCAUAGCCGGCAGUCUGGGUGGCCUCUGGCUGAUUCCUGAACAAUAUGAGCUUAUGAACUAUAGGCACGACACUUGACACGCCCAUCCCAAAGAAGAGAGAAGCACGAUGGCUACGAAACUUGGGUCCUUGGAAAAAUGGGAGUUGGGAGAAAACCAUGGUGGUGAUACCUAGUACUGUGAUGAAACCUAAGUAGAGGUUGCAAAGGAAGGGGUUGCACAUGAAGGAGUAGUAGACAGUAGGGUAAAAUGAGGUCAUGAUGAGUGCAGUGAUGCCUGCAUAGUCACAUCUUUGCAUUAUGGAGGAAAGGCGCGCUGAAUGGCAAGCAACGAGAUGGCAGGUGCUGCUGGCUAGCAAGCAGAACAUGACUCCACCUAGAAACACAAAGAAGGGCCGCCUUGUUAUGGGCCGAUACAUAAGGGGGGCCACCAUGUUCAUCACGUCAUCCAUUACUCCAUCCUGCAAUUGUUAAACAAAUAACAAAGGCAUAAGGCUGGAAAACAAAAGGACUUCCAAUUAAAAAGUAUGUUGCCAUUGGUAUAUAGACCGGAUUUUAUAGAGACUUUAUCAGAAAGUUUACAUCAGUAGCUGGGUAAAAAAUUCAUGCAUGUAAAGGGAAUAAAAAAAAAGUCAAAUAAAAUUUGAAAAGCACUCAAAGACAUCUUUGCAUUGGAGUUGCAUUUUUUAAUCAAAGAGCAGGACAAUACCAGAACAGAAUUCUCUGUUUGAUUGCCAUGGGAGAACCGGUCAGGCAAGCAAUUGGCGAGAAGUUCCCUUAUAUUCCCUGAAGCUGAGGGGGGAAAAUCCAUAGACGGCAAAGAUAGCGAAGGGAGGCAAUUCAACAGUUCUGGAUGAAUUCUGUGCAAAUCGGCUCUUCUAAUCAUGUCAGACAAACGUUGCAGGGAAGACAGAUCCAUGAGGUCUGGAGCUUUUGUUGCUGUGUAUAUGGUUAGGAAAAGGAAAAGGAAGAACCCGAUCAAAUACAACAACAACAACAACAACAACAACAAAGCAUUUUCCCACUAAGUGGGGUCGGCUAUAUGAAUCCUAGAACGCCAUUGCGCUCGGUUUUGUGUCAUAUCCUCCGUUAGAUCCAAGUACUCAAGUCUUUUCUUAGGGUCUCUUCCAAAGUUUUCCUAGGUCUUCCUCUACCCCUUCGGCCCUGAACCUCUGUCCCGUAGUCACAUUUUCGAACCGGAGCGUCAGUAGGCCUUCUUUGCACAUGUCCAAACCACCGGAACCGAUUUUCUCUCAUAUUUCCUUCAAUUUUGGCUACUCCUACUUUACCCCGGAUAUCCUCAUUCCCAAUCUUAUCCUUUCUCGUGUGCCCAUACAUCCCACGAAGCAUCCUCAUCUCCGCUACACCCAUUUUAUGUACGUGUCGAUGCUUCACUGCUCAACAUUCUGUGUCAUACAACAUCGCUGGCCUUAUUGUCGUCCUAUAAAAUUUUUCCUUGAGCUUCAGUGGCCUACGACGGUCACACAACACGCCGGAUGCACUCUUACACUUCAUCCAUCCAGCUUGUAUUCUAUGGUUGAGAUCUCCAUCUAAUUCUCCGUUCUCUUGCAAGAUAGAUCCUAGGUAGCGAAAACGGUCACUUUUUGUGAUCUUCGCUAGAUUGCUCCGGUCAUUAGUGUGGAUAAGUAUAUAAAUGGAUAGAGAUAGGAAAGCAAACACAAGAUGUACGUGGUUCACCCAUAUUGGCUACGUCCACGGAAUAGAGGAGUUCUCAUUAAUUGUGAAGGGUUUACACAAGUACAUAGGUUCAAGCUCUCAUUUAGUGAGUACAAGUGAAUGAUUUAGUACAAAUGACAUUAGGAAAUAUUGUGGGAGAAUGAUCUCGUAACCACGAAACUUCUAAGUACCGGAGUGUGGUAUCGUCUUGACUUGCCUUAUCUGUCUCAUAGGUAGAUGUGUCAUCUUCUCUGGAAGUACUCUUCCUCCAUCCAGGGGUGGUAUCUGUAACUGGUGGAGAUGCACAAGGUAAUGUAUCAAUUUCACUUGAAGCUUACUUGUAGUUUCAGGCUUGGUCAAGCGCGAUACAAACCAUGUAGUAGGAGUCCCCCAAGUCGCCGAGCUAGGGGAUCUGCUGAAAGAGGUGACAGACAAGGUAAGCAAUCAGAGCUCCGACUGAUUGUUCACAUUCUCCCUAUCUUGCAGGCAGCAUGAAGGAUAAAGAGAAGAAAAAUGAGAAGAGAUGAUAUGGGAUACUUUUGCUUUUGAAGAAGUAACUUUCCACAAGCUUAUUCUUGAACCGGGCUGGAGGGUUUUCUGGUUUCCUCCAGAGUAUAAGGCCGACUGAAGAAUUUGAGGGUCAAAACAAGUCCAUCAAAUCUAGAGUACGUUCGACCCUGCUGAUAUGGGAUACUUUUUCUUUUGACAGAGUAGUGGAUGUAUCGGCACGUGUGUUGUUACGCUUGUCUCCACAUGCUUCCUUGUAUCCUUCUCACUUGCCCUAUCUGUUCCUCAGGUAGAUGCGGUAUCUUCCCUGGAAGCAUAAGAUGUUGAAGAUGAGUACUCGAGAGCAAUGCCAGGUAAGUAAUCAGGUAAGGGGUUCCAGGCAGUCAAUUCCUGGCUGGAAGCUUGAUUCCAAGUGCUGACUGAUUGCUCUCUUUCUCCUUGUCUUGCAGGUAAGAACAAGGCCAAAGGAAAAGACAGGGAAAAAGCAUGAUAUAGGAUACUCUUGCUUUUAACCAUGAUGAUAUGAGAUAUUCUUGCUCUUGUUUACAGAUGUAUUAUCGGGGGGAAAGAAAGCUGAAUAUUUCGAAAGGCUUCGUUGGGAGUGCCCUCUCAGAUAAGAGGAAUGGUUGAGCAUUUUUGCAGGUCUGCCUGUCCGUUAGGGAUGGAGGUCGACAUAUAUAGGAGUCUCCCUAACAUCAAGUAAUAAUGCUAUUCCUUUACCCUGCUUGGUCAUAGCACGGUAGUGGGAGCUGCCAGCUUCACAUGUUUUAACUCUGUCAGAGCACUUUGAAAAAGUGGUCUGUGGUAUCUGGAAAGCUGAUGUUGCGUGUGAAGAUUACGGACAAGCUUUAUCCAAGGAGAUCCAGCUCUUGAAGUUGGGAAAGUGGUGCCUCUUCGGUUUUCGAACAAGCAAUCCUGUCGGGGAUCUGGCUCUCGAGAUUCGGAUAACGAUGUCUCUUCGAUUUUUGAGAAAGCAAUCCUGCUGGGGGUCUGGCUCUCGAGAUUCGGAGAGCGGUGUCUCUUCGAUUUUUGAGAAAAUAAUCAUAUUGGGAGUCUGGCUCUCGAGAUUCGGAUGGCAAUGCCUCUUCGAUUUUGGAGCAAGCAAUCUUGUUGGGAGUGUUUUCUCGAAUGUGAGUAAAGGUUGGGCAUGUUUGCUAGUCUACCUUGCCACGAAGCACAGAGGUUGACACACAGGGACUUUCCAAUUAUCCAGCAGUGGUACUGUUCCUUUACCCUCUCUUCGAUUUUUGAGAAAGUAAUCAUGUUGGGAGUCUGGCUCUCGAGAUUCGGAGGGCGGUGCCUCUUCGAUUUUGGAGCAAGCAAUCUUGUUGGGAGUGUUUUCUCGAAUGUGAGUAAAGGUUGGGCAUGUUUGCUAGUUUACCUUGCCACGAAGCACAGAGGUUGACACACAUGGACUUUCCAAUUAUCCAGCAGUGGUACUGUUCCUUUACCCUCUCUUCGAUUUUUGAGAAAGUAAUCAUGUUGGGAGUCUGGCUCUCGAGAUUCGGAAGGCGGUGCCUCUUCGAUUUUGGAGCAAGCAAUCUUGUUAUGAGUGUUUUCUCGAAUGUGAGUAAAGGUUGGGCAUGUUUGCUAGUCUACCUUGCCACGAAGCACAGAGGUUGACACACCGGGACUUUCCAAUUAUCCAGCAGUGGUACUGUUCCUUUACCCUUGUGGGUAAUAAUAUGGUAGCUAGACCUUCAAAAUUUAUGUGUCUAAACUUUGUUAGUGUUGUUUCUUUGCUAUUCUUUUACCCUUCUUGGUCAGAGCGAUGUAGUAGGAGCUGCAAGCUUCACGUGUCUCAACUUUGUCAGAGAACUUUGGCAAAGUUAUCUGUGGUACCCAUGAGCUACUGUUGCAUGUGGGAAGUGGGUGAUUGAACAGUACGAUUCAUGUGCUUUCUACUUCGCCAGAAAUCUUCGACAGAAUGCCCAUAAUUUCCGCAAAGCUGAGUGUGCGUGUGACAGGUGCUGACAAGGCUGGAAAAGUAGGUGCCUCUUCGAUUUCUGAGAUCGGCCCUCGUGGUCUCUGAGCAGCCCAGCUUUUGAGAAAGCAAGCCUCUUCGAUUUCUGAGAUCGGCAUUUGUGGUCUUUGAGCAGCCCAGCUUUUGAGAAAGCAAACGCCUCUUCGAUUUCUGAGAUCGACCCUCGUGGUCUCUGAGCAGCCCAGCCUUUGAGAAAGCAAACGCCUAUUCGAUUUCUGAGCAGGCGCCUCUUCGAUUUCUGAAGCUUCGUCGAGUGCAGAUUUUUAUAAGGGCUGACAUUAAGUUCCAAAGCACACUUGAAUAUCCACCAGUAGAAGCUCCAUUCUUGCACUUCUAAGAUCUUGAUUUGUCCGACCUCUUCUCUCUUCUUCAACACCUUUGAAAAUGUCUGGCCCCUCCGACCGUCGUUUUGACUUGAACCUUGUUGAAGAGGCAGCCCCGCCUUCUCCAGACAACAUAUGGCGCCCAUCCUUCGUCUCCCCUACUGGUCCUCUUACCGUUGGGGAUUCCGUGAUGAAGAAUGAUAUGACCGCUGCGGUAGUGGCCAGGAACCUUCUCACUCCCAAAGAUAACAGACUACUUUCCAAACGGUCUGAUGAGUUGGCUGUUAAGGAUUCUCUGGCUCUCAGUGUUCAGUGUGCAGGUUCUGUGUCUUCUAAUAUGACCCAACGCCUAUUUGCUCGAACCCGCCAAGUUGAAUCAUUGGCGGCUGAAGUGAUGAGUCUCAAACAGGAGAUUAGAGGGCUCAAGCAUGAGAAUAAACAGUUGCACCGGCUCGCACAUGACUAUGCUACAAACAUGAAGAGGAAGCUUGACCAGAUGAAGGAAUCUGAUGGUCAGGUUUUACUUGAUCAUCAGAGAUUUGUGGGUUUGUUCCAAAGGCAUUUAUUGCCUUCGUCUUCUGGGGCUGUACCGCGUAAUGAAGCUCCAAAUGAUCAACCUCUGAUGCCUCAUCCUUCUAGGGUUCUGUCCAGUACUGAGGCUCCGAAUGAUCCCCAUCCGGUGCCUUCUCUUUCUGGGGCUCUACCGACUGCUAAGACUUCUCCUAAGCAACCUUUGUGAAGGCUCCCUCUUGUUUGUUUAUUUUGACUCAAGUAUAUGUACAUAUUUGUAACUUAUCGGGGAUAUCAAUAAAUAAGCUUUCCUUCAUUUCAACGUAUUGUGUUAAAUAAACCAAAGCCUUCUUCGCUAAGUUCUUUGAAUUUUCUUUUGUUGAAGCUUGUAUGUUGAAGCUUUGUGAGUGGAGCAUGUAGGUUGAGGUAGUGUUCCCUUAAUUUCCCGAGUGAGGAAAACUUCUCGGUUGGAGACUUAGAAAAUCCAAGUCACUGAGUGGGAUCGGCUAUAUGAAUCUUAGAACGCCAUUGUGUUCUGUCUUGUCUCAUGUCCUCCGUGAGAUCCAAGUACUCUAAGUCUUUUCUUAGGGUCUCUUCCAAAGUUUUCCUAGGUCUUCCUCUACCCCUUCGGCCCUGAACCUCUGUCCCAUAGUCGCAUCUUCUAAUCGGAGCGUCAGUAGGCCUUCUUUGCACAUGUCCAAACCACUGUAACCGAUUUUCUCUCAUCUUUCGUUCAAUUUCGGCUACUCCUACUUUACCCCGGAUAUCCUCAUUCCUAAUCUUAUCCUUUCUCGUGUGCCCACACAUCCAACGAAGCAUCCUCAUCUCCGCUACACCCAUUUUGUGUACGUGUUGAUGCUUCACCGCCCAACAUUAUGUGCCAUACAGCAUCGCCGGCCUUAUUGCCGUCCUAUAAAAUUUUCCCUUGAGCUUCAGUGGCAUACGGCGGUCACACAACACGCCGGAUGCACUCUUCCACUUCAUCCAUCCAGCUUGUAUUCUAUGGUUGAGAUCUCCAUCUAAUUUUCCGUUCUUUUGCAAGAUAGAUCCUAGGUAACGAAAACGGUAGCUCUUUGGUAUUUCUUGAUCUCCGAUCCUCACCCCUAACUCGUUUUGGUCUCCAUUUGCACUGAACUUGCACUCCAUAUAUUCUGUCUUUGAUCGGCUUAGGCGAAGACCUUUAGAUUCCAACACUUCUCUCCAAAGGUUAAGCUUUGCAUUUACCCCUUCCUGAGUUUCAUCUAUCAACACUAUAUCGUCUGCGAAAAGCAUACACCAAGGAAUAUCAUCUUGAAUGUCCUGUUAACUCAUCCAUGUAUGGAUGAGUUAACAGGACAUAUUCAAGAUGAUAUUCCUUGGUGUAUGCUUUUCGCAGACGAUAUAGUGUUGAUAGAUGAAACUCAGGAAGGGGUAAAUGCAAAGCUUAACCUUUGGAGAGAAGUGUUGGAAUCUAAAGGUCUUCGCCUAAGCCGAUCAAAGACAGAAUAUAUGGAGUGCAAGUUCAGUGCAAAUGGAGACCAAAACGAGUUAGGGGUGUGUGAAUAACUAUUAAGAGCAAUGGUCUUAAAAGCAUUUCUCAGCAAUGUUAUUUACUUGAGAGGCACAGCUUCAAAAAACAAAUAACCAUUGCAUUGUAUUGCGGUAAUAAGUAUUAGGCACUAGAGUACUUACGUCCAGACAUUAAGAGUCUGAUUAUGAAUGGAAAAGAUGCUUAGAAACACCUGCUUCAAUGGCCAUUCCGAUCGGUAAUGACCCAAAAUGAACUCAUUGUCCCUUAAAAAAUCAGGCAAUGAAUGGUAUUCAAUAAGCUGAUAUUUAACUUUCUUCCUGAGUCUCUUUCCCUUUGCUUCCUUUGAACGCGUUUCGUUUACAUCUUCAUGGUCGAAUUGAUUUUCUUCUGAUCUAGUUUCUGCAACCAAGAAGCAUUGAGAAGCAUUUUCCUACUAAGCACAGACAAGACUACAAACGAAGGUCUGUCAAAAAUUAAGUCCAAGUGCUUUUCUUGGAGAGAGAUAACUAUACAUGGGAACACGCAUCAUAUAAACAAAAUCCGUAACCAUUUCGUUUUUAGUUUUCCCGUUUUUGUUAGGAAUAGAGGAGAAAUACAAAGGAGAAAAGACGGAUGAAGGAAGGUGGAGGAAUGAUGGCGGGAAGGGUGUGGGAGAAAUGUACAUGGAAGAGUACACAAAGUAAAAACUAAAAACCGGAACAAUAUUUAGUAGCUUUUCAAGUUUCUAGUUUUUGUUUUCUACUUUCUCCCCCCGCCUUCUUUAUUUCUCAUUCCUCCAUAUACAUUCCCUCUAUUUCUACCAAGGAAAAAAUGAAAACAAAACUAAAAACGAAAUAAUUAUCAAACGAGCCCUAAGUAAAGGCUCGUUUGGAAGUACUUUUAAAUGAUUGAAAGCGCUUUUGGUAAAUUGAUUUUGGGUUCCCAAAGCACUUAAGUGCUUUUCAAAAUAAGCACCAGUAUGUGCUUCAUGCAGGAAACACUUAAAAGCUUUUUCAAGAUCCACUUAGAUUUUUACUAAAGAUUGAUUUCAAUAAUAUUUCACCAAAAACGCUUUCAGUCAUUACAAGUGGAGUUCACUUGACCACUGACAUACAAGCCAUCCACAUUCUUGCUUUCCUCUGAGAUACAUACGGCCGGCCCUUCGGGCAUCCUGGCGAUACAAAUACUGUUUCAGAGUUUUCUCAAAUAUUGACAGAUGAUUAAAUGUUUCAUCAAACCAUAUUGUUGCCCUUACAAAUAGGCACGUCCCUUUUAAUUUAACACAAAGAUUAUCCAAACCAAGAUUUUUCUUGUGAAAUUUACUGCCUUCUUCUCUUUUUCUCCUCACCCAUAACUACUAAUAUUAAGAUUAGCAUUCCUAAUCAAAAGGAUGUUUCUAAUCUCCAAAGACAUUACAAAUUCUUUUGACAAAUUCUCAACAAAUUGAUAGGAUUCCCAUGAAAAACAUACAAAUAGAAAAACCAGGCCACAGUACGAUCAAUCUUUCAUAUGCCAUGACUAAAAUGCACAGCUGAUAACCAAAACAUUAGAAUUAGAAGAUAAUAUAUGAGAGGAAAAGUAAUUACCUGAUAAUGGAGAAUCACCACCCAUGAUCAAGAUUCAAACCCAAAAGGAGUUUUCUUGAUGUUGUUUGGUUUUAGCUUCGAUGGAAACAAUGGAAAUUUUCUUGGGAAAAGUUUUACUUUUACUUUUAUAUUCCUGGGAAACUUGUCCAGGGGAAGACAAUUACCCGAGAUAACAUAAAAGUAUAAAUUCCAGAUGUUGGAGUGUGGUGAGAGAGGGAACAGGUACUAUCCGGAUUUUGAAGAUCAAUCAAUCAGGUUCAUCAUAUAUUGUACAGUCAUUUUUUAAAUUUUUAUUUAAAAAUAAACACAAACAGUAACUAACGAAAACCAUUAAUAUUUUCUCGGAAAAAGUUUUACUUUCCUGAGAAACUUAUGCGGGGGAAGAAUAUUACCCGAGAGAACAGAGUAAUGUUAUAUAGACGCACAAAAAUAACACACUCAAAUUAGAGAUCGUUUCAAUUAGAGUAGGCUUCCUGUCCAAAUCCCAAAUGGGGGGUAGGUGAAUCGUCAUCCUUUGCCCUCCAUUUGCCUUGUUCCAAGCACACCAUUUCUCUGUACUGAGUUCGUAAGCACUUGGACGUGUGUUUAAAUUCUGUAAUACGAGAUUAGUGACUAAUCAUUUCCUUCAUUAUCUAAACCACUAUCACAAACAUUCGUACCUUCAAAUGUGAUCCUGCUGGUGUUUCCUCUUCUUCAAGAUUGUACUCGACGCACCACAUGUGCCGACGUGACCCAAAAUCUCAAUUCAAUUCGAAAUGGAUAACCUAAACACACAAAUUUCAAUUCAAUUCGAAAUUUCAAACUUCAUUACAUAAUAAUUGAAACCAACAUGACCCAAAAUCUCAAAUUCCAUCCAGUUAAAUUUGAAUUGAGCUAAAUUUUACUACUAAAUCGAAAGAAUCAGUAAAAAACUCACAAGGUGAGAGUAAAAUGCAUGAAAGUAAUUCGGGGGAGUAGCAUGGUGACGACGCCGCGUUUGGGUUUGGAGCCACGAGACGACGCCGGAUUGAGGGAGGGAGGAAGGGCGGAGCUUGUGGCCGGAGAAGUCGGAGGAGAGGCUGUUGCCGGCGAAGGGAGAGAGGAAGCUGGUGGAAAGGGAGGCUCUGGGAGGGGAAUGAGACGACAUCAGAUUGGGCGGGUAGUGUUCAGGGCUCGGGGAGUGGUGGCCGUUGCUAACAUGUGUGGAGCGCGAAGCUGGAAGCUGUGGUUGGCACCUCCAUUGAUGAGUUUCGAACGGUGGUUAACUGGAGAACGCAGUAUCCAAAUGGAAGGAGAUAUCGAAACCAAAUAAAGUGGGCUCUUUUGGUUUUUGGGCUACAAAAU
This 11632-nucleotide long non-coding RNA is filed under the name Malus domestica (apple). Its description in RNAcentral is "long non-coding RNA (MDOM_LNC003588)". The record is from RNAcentral. Lineage: Eukaryota; Viridiplantae; Streptophyta; Magnoliopsida; Rosales; Rosaceae.